GAGUUUGAUCCUGGCUCAGGAUGAACGCUGGCGGCGUGCUUAACACAUGCAAGUCGAACGAUUAACCCGCCCUCGGGCGGUUAUAGAGUGGCGAACGGGUGAGUAACACGUGACCAACCUGCCCCUUGCUCCGGGACAACCCAGGGAAACCUCGGCUAAUACCGGAUACUCCGCGCAGCCCGCAUGGGAGGCGCGGGAAAGCCCAGACGGCAAGGGAUGGGGUCGCGGCCCAUUAGGUAGACGGCGGGGUAACGGCCCACCGUGCCCGCGAUGGGUAGCCAGGUUGAGAGACCGAUCGGCCACAUUGGGACUGAGAUACGGCCCAGACUCCUACGGGAGGCAGCAGUGGGGAAUUUUGCGCAAUGGGGGAAACCCUGACGCAGCAACGCCGCGUGCGGGACGAAGGCCUUCGGGUUGUAAACCGCUUUCAGCAGGGAAUAUAGUGAAGGUACCUGCAGAAGAAGCUCCGGCUAACUACGUGUCAGCCGCCGCGGUAAUAC
Molecule: ribosomal RNA, 500 nt
Filed under: uncultured bacterium
Lineage: Bacteria
Description: bacterial SSU rRNA
Rfam family: Bacterial small subunit ribosomal RNA
Source: RNAcentral